This 73-nucleotide transfer RNA is filed under the name Ictidomys tridecemlineatus (thirteen-lined ground squirrel). RNAcentral describes it as "Spermophilus tridecemlineatus (thirteen-lined ground squirrel) tRNA". It matches the Rfam family "tRNA". Rfam says of the family: Transfer RNA (tRNA) molecules are approximately 80 nucleotides in length. Their secondary structure includes four short double-helical elements and three loops (D, anti-codon, and T loops). Lineage: Eukaryota; Metazoa; Chordata; Mammalia; Rodentia; Sciuridae. The record is from Rfam by way of RNAcentral.
GAGGAUGUAGUUCAAGGGUACAGCACUUGCCUAGUAGGCAUCAAGAUCCUGGGUUCAAUUCCCAGCACUCACA